RNAcentral lists this ribosomal RNA (514 nucleotides) under uncultured bacterium. RNAcentral's name for it is "bacterial SSU rRNA". It matches the Rfam family "Bacterial small subunit ribosomal RNA", at positions 8 to 518 of the family's 1533-position model. The record is from RNAcentral.
AGAAUUUGAUCUUGGUUCAGGAUGAACGCUGGCGGCGUGCCUAACACAUGCAAGUCGAACGAAGCAUACGGACCGGAGAUUCGUCGAAGGACCGUAUGACUUAGUGGCGGACGGGUGAGUAAUGUAUGAGCAACCUGCCUUUCAGAGGGGGACAACAGUUGGAAACGACUGCUAAUACCGCGUAACGUACCGUGGGGGCAUCCUCGUGAUACCAAAGGAGCAAUCCGCUGAAAGAUGGGCUCAUAUCUGAUUAGCUUGUUGGCGGGGUAACGGCCCACCAAGGCGACGAUCAGUAGCCGGACUGAGAGGUUGAACGGCCACAUUGGGACUGAGAUACGGCCCAGACUCCUACGGGAGGCAGCAGUGGGGAAUAUUGGGCAAUGGGCGAAAGCCUCGACCCAGCAACGCCGCGUGAAGGAAGAAGGUCUUCGGAUUGUAAACUUCUUUUAUGAGGGACGAAGGACGUGACGGUACCUCAUGAAUAAGCCACGGCUAACUACGUGCCAGCCGCCGC